Molecule: ribosomal RNA, 497 nt
Filed under: uncultured bacterium
Lineage: Bacteria
Description: partial 16S ribosomal RNA
Rfam family: Bacterial small subunit ribosomal RNA
Source: RNAcentral
GAUGAACGCUGGCGGCGUGCCUAAUACAUGCAAGUCGAGCGAACAGACGAGGAGCUUGCUCCUCUGACGUUAGCGGCGGACGGGUGAGUAACACGUGGAUAACCUACCUAUAAGACUGGGAUAACUUCGGGAAACCGGAGCUAAUACCGGAUAAUAUAUUGAACCGCAUGGUUCAAUAGUGAAAGACGGUUUUGCUGUCACUUAUAGAUGGAUCCGCGCCGCAUUAGCUAGUUGGUAAGGUAACGGCUUACCAAGGCAACGAUGCGUAGCCGACCUGAGAGGGUGGUCGGCCGCACUGGAACUGAGGCACGGUCCAGACUCCUACGGGAGGCAGCAGUAGGGAAUCUUCCGCAAUGGGCGGAAGCCUGACGGAGCAACGCCGCGUGGGUGAUGAAGGUCUUCGGAUCGUAAAACUCUGUUAUUAGGGAAGAACAAAUGUGUAAGUAACUAUGCACGUCUUGACGGUACCUAAUCAGAAAGCCACGGCUAACUACGUG